CAGCAGCCGCGGUAAUACGGAGGGUGCAAGCGUUAAUCGGAAUUACUGGGCGUAAAGCGCACGCAGGCGGUCUGACAAGUCAGAUGUGAAAUCCCCGGGCUUAACCUGGGAACUGCAUUUGAAACUGUCAGGCUGGAGUCUUGUAGAGGGGGGUGGAAUUCCAGGUGUAGCGGUGAAAUGCGUAGAGAUCUGGAGGAAUACCGGUGGCGAAGGCGGCCCCCUGGACAAAGACUGACGCUCAGGUGCGAAAGCGUGGGGAGCAAACAGGAUUAGAUAUCCGCGUAGUCCCUGUCUCUUAUAC
Molecule: ribosomal RNA, 301 nt
Filed under: uncultured bacterium
Lineage: Bacteria
Description: partial 16S ribosomal RNA
Rfam family: Bacterial small subunit ribosomal RNA
Source: RNAcentral